UUUUAUUGGUUGUUCAAAACAUUACAAAGCUCUUGACAUGUCAUAUUUCAUACAUUUGAUUCAAGUGGGUUAUGAAAUUUCUUUAAAUUAAAAGGACAGUUGUCCAUGAAGAAUUAAGGAGAAAAUAAUUGCUUGGUUUAUUGUUCCUCUUUUUUUUUUUGUUACAGGGAUUGAGCUUAACUACUGAGCCAAACCCCCAAUCCUUUUUUGUAUUUUAUUUGGAGACAGGAUCUCACUGAGUUGCUUAGGGCCUCAGCUUUCCGAGCUAUUAGGAUUACAGGCAUGCACAAGUGGUGCACAGCUGUUGUUCCUCUCUUAAAACAGCCAUACUAACAAUACCACUGUAUUUUAUGGGCUGCUUUUUUGUUUGUUUUUUACUGGGGAUUGAACCCAGGGGCACUGGAUCACAUCCCCAGCCCAGCCCUUUUUGGUUUUUUAUUUUGGGACAGGAUCUUAUUAAAUUGCCAAGUCUGCUAUCGAACUUGCAAUCCUCCUGCCUCAGCCUCCUGAGAUCCUAGGGUUAUAGGCAUGCACCACCACACCCAGCAGUCUAUUAUCUUUAAAACAAAAUUGAAUUUACAUUGCUGGUGUUUAAAGGUGGGUGCAGUAUGUAGUAACAUGGGGUGUCUGUGACUGACUGGUUUCAGUUCUCCAAUGGGGAGAAUGCCAGAAUGCCUUCCCCGCCUCCUCUGCCCCCCAGUAUUGGCAGUUGUACCCAGGGGUGCUCUACCACUAGUCACAUCCCCAA
This 748-nucleotide long non-coding RNA is filed under the name Marmota monax (woodchuck). Lineage: Eukaryota; Metazoa; Chordata; Mammalia; Rodentia; Sciuridae. The record is from RNAcentral.